AUACGGAGGGUGCAAGCGUUAUCCGGAUUUAUUGGGUUUAAAGGGUUCGUAGGCGGAAAAUUAAGUCAGUGGUGAAAGCCUGCAGCUCAACUGCAGAACUGCCAUUGAUACUGAUUUUCUUGAAUUUAUAUGAAGUGGGCGGAAUGCGUCAUGUAGCGGUGAAAUGCACAGAUAUGACGCAGAACACCAAUUGCGAAGGCAGCUCACUAAUGUAAUAUUGACGCUGAGGAACGAAAGCAUGGGGAGCGAACAGGAUUAGAAACCCUAGUAGUCC
Molecule: ribosomal RNA, 274 nt
Filed under: uncultured bacterium
Lineage: Bacteria
Description: partial 16S ribosomal RNA
Rfam family: Bacterial small subunit ribosomal RNA
Source: RNAcentral